Molecule: ribosomal RNA, 498 nt
Filed under: uncultured Glomeromycotina
Lineage: Eukaryota; Fungi; Glomeromycota
Description: partial small subunit ribosomal RNA
Rfam family: Eukaryotic small subunit ribosomal RNA
Source: RNAcentral
CCAAUAGCGUAUAUUAAAGUUGUUGCAGUUAAAAAGCUCGUAGUUGAAUUUCGGGAUCAAUACGUCGGUCGUGCUUCGGUACGUACUGGCGUCAUUGGUUUCUCCUUUCUGACGAACCAUGAUGUCAUUAAUUUGGUGUUAUGGGAAAUCAGGACUGUUACUUUGAAAAAGUUAGAGUGUUUAAAGCAGGCUCACGCUUGAAUACAUUAGCAUGGAAUAAUGAAAUAGGACGUUCGAUCCUAUUUUGUUGGUUUUAGGAUCAACGUAAUGAUUAAUAGGGAUAGUUGGGGGCAUUAGUAUUCAAUUGUCAGAGGUGAAAUUCUUGGAUUUAUUGAAGACUAACUACUGCGAAAGCAUUUGCCAAGGAUGUUUUCAUUAAUCAAGAACGAGAGUUAGGGGAUCGAAGACGAUCAGAUACCGUCGUAGUCUUAACCAUAAACUAUGCCGACUAGGGAUCGGAUGAUGUUAAUUUUUUAAUGACUCAUUCGGCGCCUUACG